This 78-nucleotide non-coding RNA is filed under the name unclassified sequences. The record is from RNAcentral.
UGGAAUUUGCCGCCGGGCAGCCGCCUCUCAUCCAUUCCGUUAGGCCGUUGAAGGAAUGGGUGGCGGGCUUUUUUUAUU